Molecule: long non-coding RNA, 5801 nt
Filed under: Sus scrofa (pig)
Lineage: Eukaryota; Metazoa; Chordata; Mammalia; Artiodactyla; Suidae
Description: lncRNA (ENSSSCG00050022570.1)
Source: RNAcentral
UAAAACACCAACAUGGGAUUCAUGCAGCCUUUUCUGGAGCAGUCCAAGAAGGGACAGUGACCGUAUGGUCAAAAGAAAAUUGGUCAGUCUCUUUCUGUAAUAAUUCAGUUAGCCUCAUCUCCAGGGCAACUUUUAGAGUUUCUUUCCCAACAUUUUCUAGAAACUUUGCAUCAAGGUGAUGCUGAAUAGCCCAGAUCACUCAAUCCACCAACUUUUUCCUGAAGUCCUCUAGCUUUUUCUGAAGUCUGGUCCCCAAGCCUGGUCCCAUUAAAAGUGCCUUCUACUUUCCCCCUCACACCCCCUGCCAGGUCUGCCAUGUUUCUAUGCCCCACUGGCCUUAUACCACCUCUUGGCUGCCUCCUGUGACCCAGCACUUGGCUCCUGGAGAGCAUCCAGAAUUCCACAAUUAUUUUUCUCUCUUUUCCCUCGGCAUUUCCCACAUCUUCUCUUGGUGCUGUGCUCUCAGUGGGAUGGCUUUGCUGUAGGCACACCAUCCCGGUACCAGAGCAAAGCCUCUAGGGACAGAGGUGCAGGAAGAAAAAGUAAACUCAGGCUAGGGGUCUAAUCGAAGCUGUAGCUGCCGGCCUACACCAGAGCCACAGCAGUGAAGGAUCUAGGCUGCAUCUGUGACCUACACCACAGCUCACAGCAAUGCUGGAUCCUUAGCCCACUGAGCAAGGCCAGGGAUCGAACCCGCAACCUCAUGGUUCCUAGUCAGAUUUGUUAACCACUGAGCCAUGACGGGAGCUCCAAGACCCUCUCUUCAUCUCUUUACUAAAAUGGUAGGGUCUUGCUCUUCACACAGUCCAAUUUUUCCCUUCCCUCUCCUCUCUCCUCCUUCCUGUGUCUCUUCUUCCCUCCCUCCCUACUGGUCCACACUCUUUCCCUUUCUGGUGCCUUCCCCUUUCCCCUCUCUCCUUCUGUCCUUCCUCCUAAUUUCAUUGAAUGAGUUCCUUGGUCCAGUCUUGCUGUGGCCAAGGGUUACAAAGCUGCAUUGAGACAGAGCCCUUACCUUCUAGGAGAUCAAGGUCUUGUGAGGAGAUCAGAAUGAAUAGUUUUCUCUAUUAUUCGGACCAUCUUCUUCAUUCCCUUCGAAUGAAAUCAAAGAGCUGUUGGAAGCCCAGUCCUGCUACUCUGGUAUUGAGUUGACCUUGGGUCCUGGGAAUUAAAAAAGACACUGUAACCCAAAGCUCAGGCAACCUAUUAAAUCAAGUCCAGCCCUACCCUUCUCAUGUUUGUUUACCAAUCAUUACAGACAUUUGUCAACAUUAUAGGCUUUCAGUCCAUGGUAGAAGUAAACCCUCAGCAUCCUCUUUCUAAGAAGGAAUUGAGGAAUUGCAUUUAAUGAAGAAUGGCUUUCCCAACCUCAGAAACAGCUUCAUCUAUUGUAAGGGGAGCACUCAGUGGCUCAAUCCAUAAGGCUAGGUACAGCAUACAAUGCAGAUUUCAUUUUCUGGGUUAAGAGUAAGGAAGAGAUAUUGAACACUUACUCUGUGCCAGGCAGUAUACCACAUGGUCCACCGGGGUCUCUCACCUUCUCAUUGUCAUUCUCACGCACCAAGUAGGUAGUGUGAGAACCAUUAAUUGUACACUAGGAACGUGAGAUGUCAAGCCGUUAGAAUCUUCAUUUCAGCAUAGUUCAUGGAGAAGUAUUGCUGGGGUGCCUAUUAUGUGCCAGGCUCUGCUGAAGGCACUUGAAAUACAUGAUUAAAAAAGUCUUGCCCUUGGAAAGUGUACAUUCUACCGAGACUGGGCAGGCAGGAUGGAUAAUACAUUAUAAGUAUAAUCAAUUAGUAAAUUAUGAAGUACAGUAGAUAUUGAUAAGGGCCUUGGGAAAAAAGAAAAUGUGGAGCAAGGUCAGGGAAUUGAAAGUGGUCAGGGGUUAGCAGAUUAUAGCAUUAAGUGGAAUAGGCAGGUGAACUUCAUUGGAGAAGUCAGGAGUUCUGUAAAAUAUGCAAAAUACUUAUAAAGACCACUCUGCCCUAUAAUCUCACUAAAAAGGUUGAGGAACUCAUAUAACAAGUCUUUGUUGAGCUGGAUGAUGCAAGAAUGGUUUAUCCUGUCAGACCUUUGGUCCCUAAGGGCUUAGAGUUUCUCUAGGUAGACCUGUUAGCUCCCAGGAAAUGAUCCGGUGCUUAAGGGAAUAGGGCGGAUGAAUUUUCAGGAGUUCAGAGGAGGCAGGAUUGGAUGUGGCUAAGUACCUCCCAGAGGAAAAAGACACAGUACAUGUUAAGAGUCCCUGCCACUGACUCGUGGAGAUUCCAAGCUUUAUCCGGAGGGCUGCGAAUCUCUCAGGGAACUUAAGUGGUGAAGUGAUUCAGAGCUUGUCUUCAUGGUCAGACUACCUUUUGAAUCUUCGUUCCACCAUUUGGUGAUGUUUGCUGGGUUCCUUCACCUCGUUGAGAUUUGCUUUCUUCCUUUAUAAAAUGAGGAUAUUGAUACUUAGCUCAAAGUGUUGUUGUAAAGCUGACGUGAGGAUUGUUGACAAUGUUUAGUGUGGGGUCUACUGUGUCACGACAGUGAUUAUUUUUAUCUAUCCUCAUAGGUAGGAUCACCAGAGGUAUUUUUUUUUAAUUAUUUUUUAUUUAAAAAUGUUUUAGACCCCUGGCCUGGGAACGUCCAUAUACCGUGGGUAGCGGCCCUAGAAAAAGACCAAUAACUAAAUAAAUUAAUUAAUUAAAAUGUUUUAAUAUAUUUUUUGCCUUCACCAGCAGUAUGCAGAAAUUCCUGGGCUAGGGAUCGAACCCGCACCACAGCAGCAAUGUGAGCCACAGCAGUGACAAUGCUUCCUCCUUAACCCACUCUGCCACCAGGGAACUCCCUCACCUGAGGUUUUGUUCCAAGAUAGAAUCUGCUGGCAAGAUGGCUGAGAUUACAAUUAAGUCUCACAAAGGCAGGGGCGGAGGCCAGGUGAGGAGCCUGGCAUAGGGAAGCCUUGGCACCUCUCGUUCCUCUUUCCUGCACGAGGCCAACUUUCCAGAACAGCAUAUGGACCAAAAGGAGCUCUCGAGGAUUUUUCUCAGCAGGUGAAUGUGUAAACAAAUAACAGGGCAGAGAGUCGUGGCUUAUGGAUUCCUGUAGAUCAGCCGUUACAAGAAGUCACCCCUGGGACUGCCAUCUGUUCCCAUCCUCUCUAGCCUUGCCACAUCCCAUCUCCAACCCAGACUGUAAUUCCAAAAGCACAAAUAAAGGACUGAGGUCCUUGGCAUGGGCUGAGGGCAGCCUUAUGUGGAGGCUCUUUUUUUUUUUUUAAAGGACUGCACCUGCAGCAUAUGGAAGUUCCCAGGCUAGGGUUUGAAUUGUAGCUGCAGCUUCAGGGCUAUACCACAGCCACAGCAGUGCCAGAUCUGUGCUACAUCUGCAACCUAUGCCGUAGCUUGCAGCAAAGCCAGAUCCUUAACCCACUGAGCAAGGCCAGGGAUCAAACCCGCAUCCUCACAGAGACUAGUUGGGUUCUUAACCUGCUGAACCACAACCGGAACUCUGUGAUUUUUUUUUUUUUUCUUCCUUGUUUUUAAGGGACAUGGAGAUUAGGUUUAGAGACUCUGAGAUUAGGUGGGUCUGGGUGGUAAUACAGGAAGGGCUUUGAGGACCUUCACUCUUUAGGAAAUACUCUGUGACUGAUUGAUAUAUUCAGAAAACCCUGCUGCCAACAGUGUGUCAGCUUCUGCCCUAGAGGUCAGGUAACCAAAUCUAUUGGAGGAACAGGCCCUGCCCUCAGGGAUCUUCUAGCCCUGUGUAGUGGUCCUUCAGGGGUGGCCCAUGAGAGCAGUGUUUGGAUGAUAAUAACCCCUGAGUGCUUACCUUGGAUCAGGUAAUAUUCUAAACAUUUUGUGGAUUGAGUCAUUUGUAUAUCACAAUAGCCCUGGGAAAUAGAUAUAGUUAUUAUCUCCAAUUUAUAGUCGAGGAAACUUAUAGCAGAGAGGGGAUAGAUAACUCACCCAAGGAUGCACCCAUAAAGUAAUGAACACUUAAAGUAUCAGAUUUCCCAGAUAUCUGGGUUUUCAGCUUCUCCUUAAAAGAUCUGAAGAUGGAUGGACAUGGCUGGGCUCGCAUCCUGCUUGGCAACAGCCAGCAGCAGUUGAGUGGCUGCUCACCCUGCUGGUUGGCUGCAGUCCUCACUGCUCCAUAUUGCCUCACCCUCUUCUCUGUUUGUGCUGACUACCGGGCCUCCUCUACCCUUGGUGAGCAACCCUGAGUUAUGCUGGUUUUCAAGUUUAUUUAAUGAACAUGGCAGCCCUCCAGGCUUAGAAAACAGUCAACCUUAGGAAAAGUGAAAUUUUGAAACCUGGGGGAAGAGAGGGGAGGUGAGCUAGAGGGAAAGGCUAGUGGACAAUGCCUAGAGUGGAAAAGCUAUCUUGCCUCUAUAUUACAUAUAAAUGAGACGCUGCCUCUCUAGUUCUUUAGAUCCGGAGUCCAGAUUACAUGGGUUCUUCUGUCAGGACCUGGUUUUUGUCACCUGGCUCUGCUGAAUCCCAGCCUGGGUGGGGACGGGGGUGUGGAUAGGGUGAGUGUUUAUCUCUCUUCCUUUUUCCUUUAGAGUUUCCUUUCUUUGUUUCCACCUUAAAAAAAAUUGCACAUCUUGUUUUUGAAUAAAAAAAUAGAAAGUACACACACACACACACACACACACACAGAAGGGAGUUCCUGUCAUGGCUCAGUAGUGAGGAACCUGACUAGUAUCCAUGAGGAUGCAGGUUUGAUCUCUGGCCUUGCUCAGUGGGGUUAAGGAUCCUGCAUUGCUGGGGCUGUGGUGUAGGCCGGCAGCUAUAGCUCCGAUUUGACCAUGUGUAUGCCACAGGUGUGGCCCUAAAAAAAAAAAAAUGAAGACAGCCAGUAUCCACAAUCCCUCCUAAGCUUAACUACUCUCCUAUGUAGUGUACCUUCAUUUUAUAUAUGUCUCUAUUUUUAUAUCCUAUGUAAUAUUUAUAUCUUUAAUAGAGUAAUAUAUAUAUGCUUGCUCUAUACAUACAAGGUAUAUGUUUAUAUUAUAAAAUUUGAAUCAAUAUACUUAGUGUUUUGCAAACAAUAUGUAGUGUUUUGAAAUUUGUUUUUCACUUAAUAACAUAUCAUGAACAUUAUCCAUGUCAGCAGCUGCAUCUGUGGUUUUAAAAGUAUGCAGAGUGUUCCCUUUUUUGGUGUACCAUAAUUUCUUUAACUGGUUAAUGCUUUGGAUGUUUCCAGACUUUUGUUUUGGCAUACAUCCUGGAUUAUUGGCUUGACAAAUUUCCAGGAGAAAAUCGUGCCAUCAAAGGGUGAGGAGGAGUUCCUGUCGUGGCGCAGUGGAAACGAAUCCGACUGGGAACCAUGAGGUUGUGGGUUCAAUCCCUGGUCUCGCUCAGUGGGUUAAGGAUCCAGUGUUGCUGUGAGCUUUGGUGUAGAUCGCAGAUGUGGCUUGGAUCUGGCAUUGCUGUGGCUCUGGUGUAGGCUGGCAGCAACAGCUCCGAUUAGACCUCUAGCUUGGGAACCUCUAUAUGCUGUGGGUGCAGCCCUAAAAAGACAAAAGGCAAAAGAUUUAAAAAAAAAAAAGAGAGUUCCCAUCAUGGCAUAGUGGUUAAUGAAUCCGACUAGGAACCGUCAAGGACGAGGGUUUGAUCCCUGGCCUCGCUCAGUGGGUUAAGGAUCCGGUGUUGCUGUGAGCUGUGGUGUAGGUUGCAGACGUGGCUGGGAUCCUGAGUUGCUGUGGCUCUGGCGUAGGCCAGCGGCUGCAGCUCCAAUUAGACCCCUAGCCUGGGAAUCUCCAUAUGCUGAGGGAGCGGCCCUAGAAAAGGCAAAAAAAAAAAAAAGACAAAAAAAAAAAA